CUCUUUUGAAUGGAAUGCUCUAUUAUUUUGAGUAUGAUGACACUCCAUCUGAAUAGGAAGAUCUGAUGC
Salvia splendens (bonfire salvia) is the source of this 69-nucleotide small nucleolar RNA. RefSeq annotates it as small nucleolar RNA snoR64a. Lineage: Eukaryota; Viridiplantae; Streptophyta; Magnoliopsida; Lamiales; Lamiaceae. The transcript has a single exon. The record is from RefSeq and is a predicted model, not a curated record.